This 270-nucleotide ribosomal RNA is filed under the name Babesia caballi. RNAcentral's name for it is "partial small subunit ribosomal RNA". It matches the Rfam family "Eukaryotic small subunit ribosomal RNA", at positions 1340 to 1635 of the family's 1831-position model. Lineage: Eukaryota; Apicomplexa; Aconoidasida; Piroplasmida; Babesiidae. The record is from RNAcentral.
ACCUUAACCUGCUAACUAGCUUCCCUUUUUUUGUUUGGGUUUGCUUCUUAGAGGGACUUUACAGCGACAAGCUGUAGGGAAGUUUAAGGCAAUAACAGGUCUGUGAUGCCCUUAGAUGUCCUGGGCUGCACGCGCGCUACACUGAUGCAUUCACUAAGUUUUUCCUGCUCCGAAAGGUGUGGGUAAUCUGUAGUAUGCAUCGUGUCGGGGAUUGAUUUUUGCAAUUCUAAAUCAUGAACGAGGAAUGCCUAGUAUGCGCAAGUCAUCAGA